UUUCCGUAGGUGAACCUGCGGAAGGAUCAUUAUUGUAUAACCGAGGUUCGGGGCCUGCCGCUCACCCGUUAGGUCGCGCACGCCUGAGUGCCCUCACACACAUCUAUCCCCCCCCUAUGUGCACCACCGCGUGGGUCCCCCUUUGGCUUGUUCGGAGGGUGGUCUACGUUUUCAAACAAUCUUUGAAUGUAGUUUAGUAUGUAUUUUUUGCUUUUGUAAUCACAAAAUCUUCACAACUUUCAACAAUGGUUCUCUUCUCUUUCGCAUCCAUGAAGAACG
RNAcentral lists this unclassified non-coding RNA (279 nucleotides) under plant metagenome. Its description in RNAcentral is "partial contains small subunit ribosomal RNA, internal transcribed spacer 1, and 5.8S ribosomal RNA". The record is from RNAcentral.